Molecule: long non-coding RNA, 3994 nt
Organism: Bacillus rossius redtenbacheri
Lineage: Eukaryota; Metazoa; Arthropoda; Insecta; Phasmatodea; Bacillidae
Exons: 2
Source: RefSeq, a predicted model, not a curated record
GUAGGUUCUAUUUCUGGAGAGAGAGAGAGGUAGAUUUUUAUGUUUAUUAUUAAGUUAGUUUCAGCUUCUGAUAGCAGGUUAUUAAGAGUUUACUUGAGGAGAGGAUUACGGAAUUUUAGUCUAUAGUGGAGGAAGUCUUUGAGAUUUUUUUUUGACGUAACAUAUGUUUAUUUGAGUAUACUUGUAAGGAUAAAGUUUAUAGUGAUAAGUUGUUUUAAGUCGUUGAGUUUAUCAGGGAUUUUUACGUGAGGAGAAUACGUUAUAAUUUAAAUGAUUAAUAGAGAUAAUGCAAGUGGUUUAAUUUAAUUGAAAUUAAUUUUAAGAUUGUAGGUUAAGAGAGUUAAAAUUUAAAAUAAAGUUUUUUUCGUAAAUAGGAAUUAUUUUCAAGUGAAGUUUGUUUUGCUGUCGUGCGCGUAGGAGACGAGACGUACGAAUUAAAUCAGUCGAGGGAAGGAUAAACGUUAGAAAGGAAUUAAAGAGAAAACGAGAGUUUAUGUAAAAGAGAGUUAUAGAAUUUAUAGUGAUGUUUUGUUUUAAUUAGAAAAAUGUUGAGAGUUGUUUCAGAACGACACGUCAGUGGACGUGGCAGAAUGAACACGAGACGGGGAGGUGCUGAGACCUAGCGGAGAACGGAGGAACCGCAAGCGAGGGUUGGCGCACCUGAUGGAAUUCGGUGACGUCACGGGCUCAUACGGAGACGUGGACAGGCCGUGACCUUGUUUUGAUCAGCUGUACGGUAACUUAGCGAUAAGAAAAUAGACUAUUGGUUAAAUAAAUUUAAAUUUAAGUGUGUUUUAGAAGAAGAGGAACUUUCAGUAUAUUCCUUAAGAUGAGCUGAGCAGCAGUCCAGUUUACAAGAUGACAAGAGUUCGAGAGACAAGAUACAAGAUCACUGAAACAAGAGCCAAGACUGAAGAUUCAAGAGAAGAGAAAGCUGGCAGCCAUGGACUUACAAGUGGAGAUUAAUAAGGUCAUGUAAAGUUUUAUUUUUUUAUGGAAGACAGUAACUGUUUUUUUUUUGUUAUAAACAUUAUUUACAGAACUUUUUAGGUUAUAGUAAUGUAAUGGAACUAGUGAGUUGUGGUAGCUGUCAAAAAGAACUAAUACCUUAAGUUUAAUUUUUAAAGUUAAUUUUCUUAAUUUACAGAGGGAUUAGUAGUUUUUUUAAACCUUAUUUAGGUUGGAAUUUAAAUACAAUAGCUUAUUAUAAAUGUGUACGAACAGUUCAAGUUCACAGUACUGAUAGGUAGGUCAGAUGAUCUUAUUGAUUUUGAUGAUUUGUUGUUUUGAGUUGAUUUUUAGGUGUUGUGAAUUAGACAAUGAAAUAGUUCUGAAAACUUAAAUUAUUUCAAGCUAAGAAAUAGUAAAGUUAAUUGUAACUCAAAGGACACCAGAAUUUAAUUUUUUUUUGAAUUAGUAAUGUUUGAAAAUUUUAUACUUUACAAGAAAGGUUAUAAACAAACAGAUCGGAUGGAACAAGGAUGCAGUAAAUCACAAUUUCAUUUAGAAUUAUUGAUUAGCUUUUGAGGUUAUGAAGUAAAAGUAAUUAUAGUUUAAAAGUUUGAAUAAAAAAAAAUGUUUUUUUUUAUUUGUUUGAAAUAGAAAGUUUAAAAGUUAAUUAGUCAUGAUCUAGGUGGGUGAUGGGGUGGGAAUUGGCCACUCUUUUUCCCUAUAACCUCCCUAACAUGGCCUUCUAUUACAACUAACAGAAAUAAAGAAGAAGAAAAAUGAAGAAUUAUUAGUUAGAAUGUUUCUUUCAUGAAGAUACCUGAUGAACUUUUACUGUUUGGAAGAAUAGAAGCAAGGUUAGUCAGAUAUUUGUACUCAGAAGAAGAAGAAGAUAAAGCAGUUUUAUGACUCGACAAGCCAGAGAUUGGUGUUUCCCCUCUGCGCUUCUAUUGACUACGUUGUUUACUCUCAUGGGAUAGCUGGUUCGGCACCAUGGAGAGAGAUUGGUGGGCAUUGUGGUUGCCCCCAGAAGAAAAGAAGAGUAGAAGAGGUUAUGGGUGGGUCAUGUGAACUGACCUUCAACCCAGUUACUUCGUGGGGACUAUUUGCUGUAUAGAGAAGAUCAAGACUCAAGAGUUAGGGAAAAUCAUUGGAGGUCAUGUUUCCCUUCCUUAAGUUUUUCCUAUCAAAUUAUUUGCCUGAUUAGAUUAUGCUAAGGGUGGGAUACUUUAUGUUAGCAGUUGAAUUAAUUAAUUUUAUUUUUUUUGUGUGUUUGCAUCCUUGCCCAUCGAUUGCAGUUUAGUAGUUAGUUUUGUAUUUGUCAGGCGUGAUGGUAAUGCCUGUUGAUGAUGUUUCAGAAUUGUAAUCUGUUCGUGAUGAGGAUGGCACAACUCCGAAGCAGAUGUGGGGAGAAGUUGUGAGCUGCCCUGGAAGCCAGUCCAGUAGCUGUUGAAGUUGAGUGGUGUUUGCUGAUGGCCAGCCCAGGGAGCUACUCUUCUCGACAACACUGACUUCGAGGAGUUGCACCAACCUUCACGAGAUAAGAGUUUAAUUAAUUGAAACACUGUAAGGACACUUAAUUUUUUUUGAAGAACGAAAGAAGUAUGGUAAUAAACGGAAACCGAAAAAAAAAAAUAAUAAUAAUUAUCAAGAAUUUGCACAUUGUUUAACGAAUACUGAGAAACUAAGAACAGUAAUUUAAUUUGUAAAGAGAGCUUCACUAACAGAACAAUUUUUUUAGAAUUGAGAACUCGAGCCUCUGAAGGUUCCUGUGAGAACAAACCAGAUAAAAGUUUUACAUUUAAUUUUAUGAAUACUUGUUGUUUUAAAAUAAAUCUUAUGCAGAAUCUAGAUGUAUGUUCAGACAGCAAGGAACUAAGAAAAUUAUUAUUUUUGUGAAAUGAGGAAUUUAUAGUUAUGGUUUAAUGGAAAAAGACAAUUUGUAAUUUUGAGGUAGCUCGAUGGGGCUCGAGCUCUGUGAGGGGAGGGUUAUGUCGCGGGUUGAAAUUUUGCAGGGUUGUUGAAAUCAAAUUUAGGGACUUUACUGACGGGACUCUGGGCUGGCUGCUCUGUUCACUCGUCAGCGCAAGUGGCGUGACCAUGUAAUUGGGGCACGGGGCCGGCGCGGCGCGCUGCGGGCUUGCAGAAUUUUGUUUGUUUGUUUGGCCGCGCGCUGGCGCAGCCACGGGCCGCAGUUACUGGGGCGCGCUGUCGUAACAAGCCGCGCGGUGUGGCCUGCACAUUGGGGUAGAGGGGGGGUAGUCUUCCCAGAUGUUCUAGUUAGUUGUUUAGUAAAUUUGACUUCAAUAACGAGCUUUUGUUAUGGUAGGCGCGGCAGGGCGCGCGAAUUUAAGCGCAAGUGAGUAGGAAUUCAGGCUCACUCAGGCGGAGGCUAUGCGUCUCACCUGUGGUCACGAGUUGUUAGUUCGUUCGUGAUGUAGGAAUUCAGGCUCACUCAGGCGGAGGCUAUGCGUCUCACCUGUGGUCACGAGUUGUUAGUUCGUUCGUGAUGUAGGAAUUCAGGCUCACUCAGGCGGAGGCUAUGCGUCUCACCUGUGGUCACGAGUUGUUAGUUCGUUCGUGAUGUAGGAAUUCAAGCUUUCGGGCGGAAGCUAUGGUCGACGCCAGAGGCCACGAGUCGUUUAAUUUAAGUUAGGUCAUAAUGUAGUCGUCAAGCUUUCGGGCGGAGGCUAUGGCCCUUGUCACUAGUCGUUUAGUUAUAAUUUUUUAAAAUGUAAUGUUCGUUCGGAUUUUAAGGGCAGGAGAGGCCCCUACGUUAGUUUUAAGUAAUCGAUCAAGAAAGGCUUUUCGGAAAAUGUGAGUAUGGACUUAUCUUUGUUUUAAUUUUAAGUAUUAAUUAUGAUUUGAGGUAUUCGGAAGGACUAGGGAAGUGUUUAGUGAAGUUCUCUCAUUCUCUCUCUUGUAAGGUCGUUCAAUCGUUAAGGAAGUAAAGAGAUUAUUGUUUUAAAUUGUAAUCCCGCUAUUUAAAUGUUCUUUAAAAUGAUGUUGAGUAUUUGACUUUAAGAAUAAAAUAAUUUUAAUUAAG